This is a long non-coding RNA of Neopsephotus bourkii (Bourke's parrot), 500 nucleotides long. RefSeq lists it as uncharacterized. Lineage: Eukaryota; Metazoa; Chordata; Aves; Psittaciformes; Psittacidae. The transcript is spliced from 2 exons. The record is from RefSeq and is a predicted model, not a curated record.
CUACGGAAUCGCACGGAGGUGGGGAGCGAACCCCCGAUAUUGGGAAAAAAUCCUUCAACAUCCCCUUUAAUUUCUUGCCAGAAUCCAAAAGGAAAUCGGGUGCAAAGCGACUGAAAAGCAUUAAAAAAAAAAAAAACAAACCAAACGAAAAAAAUUUAGUCCAAGCCAAGUUCAUUGUUAUCGAAGACAUGGAAGAGACCUAUUGCUGGAGGCUGCAGGGAGCAUCAGGAAAGAAAGGACGAAAAUUCCCCCGGUGCCUGGGUAUUUCCGAAACUCCCCGGCCCUUCCGCAGCCCCCGGUGCCGAGGAGAGGACGGGGAAACCACCGCCGGCACCGUGCCGAGAGCGAAGGAGACGGGCUUUGGGCUGGUGGUUGAGCAUCCGGCGUGUUCGAGAUGCGCCAGGAGACAGUUCUGGCGGAAAUAAUAACUAACCAAUCAACCAAAGAAAUAAAUAAAAAACAACAAAACCAAAACAACCCCACUGUGUAAAAAUAAUAAA